This 252-nucleotide ribosomal RNA is filed under the name uncultured bacterium. RNAcentral's name for it is "partial 16S ribosomal RNA". It matches the Rfam family "Bacterial small subunit ribosomal RNA", at positions 525 to 776 of the family's 1533-position model. The record is from RNAcentral.
ACGGAGGAUCCGAGCGUUAUCCGGAUUUAUUGGGUUUAAAGGGAGCGUAGGCUGAUGUUUAAGUCAGUUGUGAAAGUUUAAGGCUUAACCUUGAAAUUGCAGUUGAUACUGGAUGUCUUGAGUGCAUUGAAUGUGGGCGGAAUUCGUGGUGUAGCGGUGAAAUGCUUAGAUAUCACGAAGAACUCCGAUUGCGAAGGCAGCUCACAGUGAUGUAACUGACGCUGAUGCUCGAAAGUGUGGGUAUCAAACAGG